RNAcentral lists this long non-coding RNA (4382 nucleotides) under Sus scrofa (pig). RNAcentral describes it as "lncRNA (ENSSSCG00000056809.1)". The record is from RNAcentral. Lineage: Eukaryota; Metazoa; Chordata; Mammalia; Artiodactyla; Suidae.
UGUAGUUUGCAUGGAUAUACGUGAAAGUUCACAAACCCUGGACACAGCCAAACAUUUUUUUUUUUUAAAAUCAGAAUCUUAUUAAUACCAAUGAGAAGAUUAAGCAAAAUGUCCAAAUACAAGAUACUAAAAAAUCCAUGUGUUUAUCCUUACCAGAUACAAUUUGCAAGAAAGGUGUGGAGGGACACACAGAAAAAUACUGCUCAUAAUACCAACAAAACUAUAAAUUACCUAAGAAUUAUCCUUGCAAAGUCUAUAUAUUUGGUGCAGUAAUUAGAUGGAUAUAAUCUCGUGUCUUGUCUGACUAUGGAAGACAUUGACUGUGUAAUAGGAUGCUGGCAUUGAGAAACAGUGAAGUAGAGAGACACAUGGUAACACAAUGUUGGGGCACACAUAAGUAAUAGAUAUGUAUAGCAUAAUUUUAUGUAUAAUAAAUGAGUGAUACUAGAAAGCCCUAGAGUUUCAUGGAUUAACUUAACUCACUCUAUGUGAGUUUAGAAUAAAGAAAAAUAAAAAAAAUUCCUAGAAGAUCUCUCUCAAUGUUUAAUGAUUAAAACUCAAAAAGGAACAUCACAGCUCAUCAAGUACACCAUCUUAUUUAACAGAUGAGAAGAUUUAGUCGUCAAGGUCACAUAUCAUUAAUGACUGGUCUUUCAGUUCCCAGUGGAACUCUCUCUUCUGUCCUCCGUGACCUUUCUACUUGAGAAAUGCUCUUCCCAAGAAUGUGCCACCCCUUGGUACCCGCAAUGAAUUUACAUUUUCAGCUUCAUUAAAUAAAAUGCCACCCACCAGAGACAGAUAUCUGAGUUACAUGAUGUUUUCACUGUACUGCAGUGGAUUCAGUUAUGAGAGUAUGAUUUAAAAAAAUUGUCCAGGAAAAAAAAAAAAGAAAAGAAAUGCAUGAGUGUGUAUGUGAAGGACCUAAUGAAAACAACUCUGUUAAUCACUUGAAUGGAAACAGUAAAAAUUUUAGGAAUGAGUUAUGUCUUUCUGAAUUGAAUCUCAUGGUGAAGUGGUUUUAAUCUGUGCAGGCCCUUUGCAGUUAAAGCCCACAUGUCUUUGCGCUAGCUUGCUUUUUAACAUUCCAAGUGUCUUCAGGCCAAUAUUUGGGGUACCAUCUCAACUUGUGACCCAUUACAGCUGCUAAGCCAUUAUUGUCUGCUUUCUUUAAACCAAACAAACAAAAAAAAUGUGUUAAUUACUUACUGAUUCAUUGAGGGGCAUUACUAUUAAUUUUAAUGAGUUACUCUUUAACUCUUAGACUGUCUCCAGAAUUUUAAUAAACAUGACCUGAAAUCAUAAUGACCAUUGGACAGAUGAAAAAAAAUGAACUUCAGGGUAGUUUAGUAAGCUGCCCGUCAUGGAGUGGAGUUAGAUCUUCAACCCAAAUCCAAAGCCUUAUUCUACACCACAGUAUAAUACAUAUUCUAAUACUGAUCAGAGAUAUUACAGAUGCAUAUCAAAAUAUGGCUGGCCUUUCCUGAUGCAACACAGAGGUGCAUUCUCUAGAUGGGAAGAAUCAAUUUAAAAUUACUCUGAAUUCAUCUGCAAGGGAAACGAGUGCAAUGCUAUUCUGCCACAACUGCAAAGUAACUUAAACUAGUGUACACAGAGUUGCUGAUCUGUGUAAAAUGAUGCCCUGAUGUUUCUAGCAUCAGCAGGAUAAUGCAAGAUAUUUAAAAGGCAAUACUAAUGAUUAAAAAGGUAACAAGCAACUCCUAUGUGUCCCAGGGGAUGAUAUUUAUUGAAGAGAAUAUAAAGGGGCAUAAACUUAAGGUCAAAACUGAAGUAUUCAAACCAGAGGGAUAUGUUUCCAAAAAAAGAGAGCUGACUCCAUUCAAACAGAGAUCCAUCAGAGAGAAAACUAAGGGGAUAUUUUAUGAAGAGGGACUCCUGGAUAGUAACUGGCAUUUGCCUUGAUGUUUUACCCGUGUCUUUAAACUCCUUGUCAUUGGUGUUGGUGAAAGCCAUUGAAAAAAAGAUGCUAUAAUGAGGAACUCUUGUCAGUGUUUGGAGAGCACAAAGUAUGGCUCCAGAAGGCACAGAGUUUGUAUUAUGGCUCCAUUCCUUUUUCAUUGUUAGACCUUGGGAAUUUUUUUCUAAUUCUCUGAAGUUCAGUUUUCUCUGCAGUAAAAUGGAAUAACAAAAAAUAUUGAUUUUGUAUAGUUGUGAAUCUCAAAUGAAUUAAGGUAUGUAAUCUUCUACAACUGUGUUUUAAAGUUACCCUCUGUUGUUACUGACAGUAUUAAUAAUGCAUCCAACUGAUGUGAUACAGAGGGACUAUGAAAAACAGAAAAUAAUUCUGAUAAAAUAUUCAAAUAGAGCAGAAUUUUAAAAAGUGCUUUAUGAGACUAAAAACACCAAAUCUUUUUUCAAACACAGAAAGGGCUGGCGAAGAAAUGGUCACAAACUAGGUUGUGUGGUAUAGGUCAUAAUGAUAUAACAGGCUAUGUUGACUGAGCUUGAGGUCAAAUUCUCUUAAGUUGGCAUGUGGAUUUAACCUUUGACUGACCACCCUUCUACCAGUCAAAGGAUAUUCCAGAAAGUUAAGUCAUAAAAUUUCAGGUGGCACAUGAAACAGUUUUAGGUGGCUUCUAGAGGAGUAUUUGAACUAUGUCUAAAAGUAGUUCAACUAUGUAUGACAGUGAGGUUGAUGAGGGAAGCACAUGGCUGCCGGACCCUAAAACAGAUAGCUCAUAUGAGGUAGAAGUUCAUGAUGAAUUGCAUGGCCCAAGAACUAGUAUCUGGGAGUCAGAGAUGAAAGGUGAGACUGGACAGUGCUUCUCUGGACACUGCUCCUCUAUCUUUCUCACUGAGGAAUAACUAUGCCCCAGGAGACAAAAAGUCUAUAGAUUCAGAAAAGCCACCAAAGGUCCUUCAAGCAUAGCUGUGAGUUGAGAGUCAAUGUGGAAUAGGAAAUAGAUGGGACACUGCCUACCUCUCAAGGACAGAUGAGAAUAGUGGGACACUGUCUGCUUCUAAGAAGUCCCCUAGAGGUGGGGACACCUUAAUUACCAGCUCGUUCAUGCAGGCUGACUUUUUAUAUUUGUUACUGCUCUCUCAUCUGGUGAGAGCUCUUUUCACCCUCAAAAGUGUCCAAGUUUAUGACAGAGAGACCAUACCAAAAAGUAAAUUGUCUUCUUGAAAGAGUUUAAGGGACAUUCAAAAUGUGAACUUUUAUUAUGUUUGGGAAUCUCAAAAAUAGCUGAACAUUCUUUAAUAUGUUUCAUGAUUUAAUGAUUUGUGUGAUUUAAAAAAUUUUUAAAUUAGAAUAUAGUAGAUUUACAGUAUUGUGAAUAUUUUAAAAGACCUAUCCUGCUGAUCAGAACACGCAGGCUUGGUACACAAGAUUAGGACAGUUACUCUAUAUGGGUGUCUAAAGAGCCAGAUGAAAUGUGGGGUUUCUAAAUUACAAAUGCUAUAGAUAUUUGGAGAGAAAGAAAAACUCAAUAUCGAAGCUCAUCUUAAGGAAGGCAAUGAUGGGGCAAAGCUUUUGUUGCUUGGGCAGACCCAAGAGAGGAAUAGGUGGAUUAGGAAAGGAACUCUAUUUGGAUGUAGAAUAUCAGAUGAUCCUUGAACCUGAAUCUCUAGGAACAUACUUCUUCGUCUAGCCUAGUCUCAGGAUGCUUGAAAAUGUGGAAAGCCUAGAGCUGAUUUCAGGUAGCAUAUGCCUCCCUUAUCUUCAGUUUAUCCCUUUCAGUGCUGAGUAAAAGAGUCUUUCAUUGCAUUUACCUCUGGGUAUACUGAACUGAGCACACUAUUCUUAAGUUACUAGUUCCCAACUCCAAAAUUUCUGAUUCUGAAAAGAUAUGAAUACUAUUUUUUGACAUUUUGUAAUUUUUGAUAUGUCAGAGAAAUUUCAUUCUGCUACAAGGCUGAACAACUAAACAGACAUAAAGAUUAUUUAAUUACUAUGCCAAAUCAUUGUGGUAGAACUGGCUAUCUUAGGCAUAUCAGAGUACCAAUUGAUAUUAUUAUAUUUUUAUUUAUUAAUAAAAAAUCAUUAUAAUAAAUAAAAAUAAUAAUAAACACAGUUUCUCUGAAUGACAAAAUAUUUUAUACUCCGUGGUCCAUGGUGUGAUAAAAGGGAUUAGGAAAAGAUACCAUUAGCUAAGUGGAGUCAGACCUAGGUUUUCAUCAUAGUUCCAUUCUGUUCUCUGUGUGAUCUUUGACAUUUACUUAGUAUCUCUUAACCUUGAUUUCUCUGUACCUUCUGAGAAAAUGAUGUAUGAGAAAUAAAUUACAUAUAUUUGUAACAACUAGCAGUAUGAUAGCAUGUAGCAACCAUUCAAUAAAUGAAUUAAGACAUAUUCCCUUUACCCUGAUUAAUAUCAAUUCAAAUAAAUAAAACUGGAUUUUUUACCUUGUUAUCCCAUUUUCAU